AAUCUAUCUUUUACGUUACUGGUAGUCAAAUAAUACAAAAACAAAAUCAAAUCAUUUCCAAAUUUAUUACAAUUGCCUAAAGUAUUCUACUGUACACUUAAUCCUACGAAUUAUUCUGAAAAUUCUAAAAAAAGCAAAGUUCAUCACAGAAGCUCCACCGUCGUUUCUCUUCAAACAGCGCCGAUACAUAUUAGAUAACUGAUCAUUGCAAUCGAUAACUACCAUCGAAUCAGUUUCAAAAGAUAAGGAUGUUAGGGUACGAUUAUGCACUCUUUACGCAUUUAUUUCCUAGCGGUGUACGACGAUAUGAUGUACGAGCUCAAUUGAUGUUUUCAGUUAUACUAACCGAUGUACAACUAAGAAAAUCUGGGCGAGGGUGUUAAUGCACUAUUUUCUCUCCUCAUGUUGAAAACUUCAUCAAAAGGUUUCAAAAGGGGUUCAUAUAUAUACUUCAUAGGAAUUUUAUUUCUUUAGAUGAUCGAACUUUGUAAAUAAUUUUCCUUCCUUAUUAUUUAUGGUGAUUAAUUGUAAUAACACAAUUUAAUUUAGUUUGUUUACAAUUUCGCACGCAUCGCGUGCAUAUAAAACUAGUAGUUUAAGAGCCGAGGGAUA
Long non-coding RNA from Spinacia oleracea (spinach), 612 nucleotides. RefSeq lists it as uncharacterized. The record is from RefSeq and is a predicted model, not a curated record. Lineage: Eukaryota; Viridiplantae; Streptophyta; Magnoliopsida; Caryophyllales; Amaranthaceae. The transcript is spliced from 4 exons.